UUUCCCCCCUAAAACCCCUAAAAUCCCAACUUUCCCCCCUCCUAAACGUCUUUUUCUUGUUCCUUACUAAUGCAACAUGUUCUGCUUUUUAUAUGAUUAAUUUUUUCGAAAACACUGUCAUGGCUAUGCAAACCGGAGUAGGUUUGUCGAAGAUCUUGAUCUUAGCCGGCGCCAAUACCGUUCCAACUGAAUUUCUUACUUCAAUUCUUCUUUUUUAUUUUUCUUACUGUUUUAAUUUUGACUUCAACUUGUUAAUUUCGUUUCCAGGUUAUACGGGUACUGUCCUCCUGAAAAACGGUAAAUUAUCGGACAUAUUAGGCGAAUUGCAGUCACUAGUGAAGGGACUCGAAAAGUCGGGGGAGCAAGCUGAUGAUUCAGAUGCACUUCUAGCUUAGGUGCGUCGUUUGUCAACGGAGAGCAGGCAACUGGCAUCAGCACGGCAGAUAACUGUUCUGAAUGGGGAUUCUAGCGGUAUUUUCUUAAUUAUAUUUGCUUAAAUAGUAGUUCUUUUAGGCACAUAUAUGUGAAACUAGUUUAUAAUUGCAUUAACGGGAUUAGAUGAACCAUUUUCUAAGUGGAUUUGCUUUGGUUGUAUUAGUAAUACAGAGACCUCGCAGGUAAUUUAACCAAAUAAUUUCAUAAUUUCAUAGUCUAGGGCCACCAUCGGCGUAGCUCUUUAGAUUUCAUAGUUCAUUUAGCUAAGCAAACCUUUCUAUUAUAAAAAGCAAAUUGAAAUUGUUGAAAUCUAACUUUUCACUGGUGGUGACAUACCCAAUCACCCAUAAUGUAGCACUAUGUGUAACACCCCUUACCCGUAGUCAACAUCGAAAUAGGGUACGAGGCAUUACCAGAACCCAUACGCUUGUAAACGUAUUUAACCGAGUUAUAAAUUUCAUCUAAAUUAAAAUUUUCAAAAUUAUUAACAUGCUUUUUAUAAUUUUUCAUAAUAUACCUUCAAAAAAAUUAUGAUCAUAAUAAUUAGGGCUUACGAAACCCGAUAC
Gossypium raimondii (Peruvian cotton) is the source of this 1001-nucleotide long non-coding RNA. RefSeq lists it as uncharacterized. The record is from RefSeq and is a predicted model, not a curated record. The transcript has 3 exons. NCBI's taxonomy places the organism in Eukaryota, Viridiplantae, Streptophyta, Magnoliopsida, Malvales, Malvaceae.